Molecule: ribosomal RNA, 778 nt
Filed under: uncultured bacterium
Lineage: Bacteria
Description: bacterial SSU rRNA
Rfam family: Bacterial small subunit ribosomal RNA
Source: RNAcentral
GCUCCCGAUGAGAGUGGCGCACGGGUGCGUAACACGUAUGUAACCUACCUUAGUCAGGGGGAUAGCCUCUCGAAAGAGAGAUUAAGACCGCAUAACAUCAUUGAAUGGCAUCGUUUGAUGAUCAAAUAUUUAUAGGACUAAGAUGGGCAUGCGCAACAUUAGCUAGUUGGUGUGGUAACGGCAUACCAAGGCUACGAUGUUUAGGGGAUCUGAGAGGAUGACCCCCCACACUGGUACUGAGACACGGACCAGACUCCUACGGGAGGCAGCAGUAAGGAAUAUUGGUCAAUGGACGGAAGUCUGAACCAGCCAUGCCGCGUGCAGGAAGACGGCCCUAUGGGUUGUAAACUGCUUUUGCAGGGGAAUAAACCUCGGUACGUGUACCGAGUUGAAUGUACCUUGAGAAUAAGGAUCGGCUAACUCCGUGCCAGCAGCCGCGGUAAUACGGAGGAUCCAAGCGUUAUCCGGAUUUAUUGGGUUUAAAGGGUGCGUAGGCGGCCUGUUAAGUCAGGGGUGAAAGACGGUAGCUCAACUAUCGCAGUGCCCUUGAUACUGAUGGGCUUGAAUGUACUAGAGGUAGGCGGAAUGUGACAAGUAGCGGUGAAAUGCAUAGAUAUGUCACAGAACACCAAUUGCGAAGGCAGCUUACUAUGGGUAUGAUUGACGCUGAGGCACGAARSCGUGGGGAUCAAACAGGAUUAGAUACCCCUGGCAGUCCACGCCCUAAACGAUGAACACUCGAUGUUGGCGAUAUACGGUCAGCGUCUAAGCGAAAGCG